AGUUUGAUCCUGGCUCAGGAUGAACGCUAGCGGCAGGCUUAACACAUGCAAGUCGAGGGGUAUAGUUCUUCGGAAUUAGAGACCGGCGCACGGGUGCGUAACGCGUAUGCAAUCUACCUUUUGCAGAGGGAUAGCCCAGAGAAAUUUGGAUUAAUACCUCAUAGUAUUAUGAUAUGGCAUCAUAUUAUAAUUAAAGUCACAACGGCAAAAGAUGAGCAUGCGUCCCAUUAGCUAGUUGGUAAGGUAACGGCUUACCAAGGCAACGAUGGGUAGGGGUCCUGAGAGGGAGAUCCCCCACACUGGUACUGAGACACGGACCAGACUCCUACGGGAGGCAGCAGUGAGGAAUAUUGGACAAUGGGCGCAAGCCUGAUCCAGCCAUGCCGCGUGCAGGAUGACGGUCCUAUGGAUUGUAAACUGCUUUUAUACGAGAAGGAACACUACUUCGUGAAGUAGCUUGACGGUAUCGUAAGAAUAAGGAUCGGCUAACUCCGUGCCAGCAGCCGCGGUAAUACGGAGGAUCCAAGCGUUAUCCGGAAUCAUUGGGUUUAAAGGGUCCGUAGGCGGUCUUAUAAGUCAGUGGUGAAAUCUCCCCGCUCAACGGGGAAACGGCCAUUGAUACUGUAGGACUUGAAUUAUUAGGAAGUAACUAGAAUAUGUAGUGU
Molecule: ribosomal RNA, 665 nt
Filed under: uncultured bacterium
Lineage: Bacteria
Description: bacterial SSU rRNA
Rfam family: Bacterial small subunit ribosomal RNA
Source: RNAcentral